UGUGCGAAGAAGGCCUUCGGGUUGUAAAGCACUUUUGUCAGGGAAAAAAUCCUUUGGGCUAAUACCCUAGGGGGAUGACGGUACCUGAAGAAUAAGCACCGGCUAACUACGUGCCAGCAGCCGCGGUAAUACGUAGGGUGCAAGCGUUAAUCGGAAUUACUGGGCGUAAAGCGUGCGCAGGCGGUUGUGUAAGACAGGUGUGAAAUCCCCGGGCUUAACCUGGGAAUUGCAUUUGUGACUGCACGACUAGAGUGUGUCAGAGGGGGGUGGAAUUCCACGUGUAGCAGUGAAAUGCGUAGAUAUGUGGAGAAACACCAAUGGCGAAGGCAGCCCCCUGGGAUAACACUGACGCUCAUGCACGAAAGCGUGGGGAGCAAACAGGAUUAGAUACCCUGGUAGUCCACGCCCUAAACGA
RNAcentral lists this ribosomal RNA (415 nucleotides) under uncultured bacterium. Its description in RNAcentral is "bacterial SSU rRNA". It matches the Rfam family "Bacterial small subunit ribosomal RNA", at positions 401 to 809 of the family's 1533-position model. The record is from RNAcentral.